RNAcentral lists this ribosomal RNA (457 nucleotides) under uncultured gamma proteobacterium 400m-FREE-5. RNAcentral's name for it is "bacterial SSU rRNA". It matches the Rfam family "Bacterial small subunit ribosomal RNA", at positions 1043 to 1501 of the family's 1533-position model. The record is from RNAcentral. Lineage: Bacteria; Pseudomonadati; Pseudomonadota; Gammaproteobacteria.
GCAAUGGUGUUGUCAGCUUGUGUCGUGAGAUGUUGGGUUAAGUCCCCGCAACGAGCGCAACCCUUGUCGUUAGUUGCCAGCAUUCAGUUGGGCACUCUAAGGAGACUGCCGGUGACAAACCGGAGGAAGGUGGGGACGAGUCAAGUCAUCAUGGCCCUUACGUGUAGGGCUACACACGUGCUACAAUGGCAUUUACAGAGAGAAGCGAGACAGUGAUGUGGAGCGGACCCCUUAAAGAAUGUCGUAGUCCGGGUUGGAGUCUGCAACUCGACUCCAUGAAGUCGGAAUCGCUAGUAAUCGCAGGUCAGAAUACUGCGGUGAAUACGUUCCCGGGCCUUGUACACACCGCCCGUCACACCAUGGGAGUGGGAUGCAAAAGAAGUAGUUAGUCUAACCUUCGGGAGGACGAUUACCACUUUGUGUUUCAUGACUGGGGUGAAGUCGUAACAAGGUAACC